Molecule: transfer-messenger RNA, 369 nt
Filed under: Actinomycetes bacterium
Lineage: Bacteria; Bacillati; Actinomycetota; Actinomycetes
Rfam family: transfer-messenger RNA
About the family: Bacterial tmRNA, also known as 10Sa RNA or SsrA, is named for its dual tRNA and mRNA-like properties. Its role is to liberate the mRNA from a stalled ribosome. To accomplish this part of the tmRNA is used as a reading frame that ends in a translation stop signal.
Source: RNAcentral
GGGGGUGACUGGUUUCGACUCGGGACGGUAGUCCCAGGAGAAGCGGGCCGAGGAGCCAAGGUCAUCUCGUUAACGAUCCUUGGAACCCAAUAAGUGCCGACAACACGCGCACUGACUUCGCUCUCGCUGCCUGAGCAGUGACCGAAGGGUCAGCCCGGACUCGCCUUCGGUCCGGAUCCUGGCCUCAUCAAGAAGGCUUGCCGCGACGACCGUGCCCUAGGGGCGUCACGGGACACAUCUAGGGCUGGGCUUGUUCACCACGUGCCGGAACGAGGGUGAGAGCCGAGCAGAACACCACCACCGGCUGCGCCCGGAGAAGUCCUGGUUCGCCGCUCAAGGACGCGGGUUCAAUUCCCGCCACCUCCACCU